Small nucleolar RNA from Quercus robur (English oak), 114 nucleotides. RefSeq annotates it as small nucleolar RNA U19. The transcript has a single exon. The record is from RefSeq and is a predicted model, not a curated record. Lineage: Eukaryota; Viridiplantae; Streptophyta; Magnoliopsida; Fagales; Fagaceae.
ACCUGGCUUAGUUAGGAGGCAGAUAUCAAACUUAAAAAAAAGGCCUUUUUGAAUUUAUGGGGACUCUUUUGUUUCUCUCUCAUCUGUUUUCCCCCAAACAAGCCUUUCACAUUU